RNAcentral lists this small RNA (67 nucleotides) under Lentibacillus halodurans. RNAcentral's name for it is "Bacillaceae-1 RNA". It matches the Rfam family "Bacillaceae-1 RNA". The record is from Rfam by way of RNAcentral. Lineage: Bacteria; Bacillati; Bacillota; Bacilli; Caryophanales; Bacillaceae.
UGAAAAGGAACAAAGGCUAAGAACGCAACGACCUGUUGCAACGCCUUUGUGACCUGCUUCGUGCAGG